This 94-nucleotide ribosomal RNA is filed under the name salal root associated fungus UBCtra1128C. Its description in RNAcentral is "partial 5.8S ribosomal RNA". It matches the Rfam family "5.8S ribosomal RNA", at positions 63 to 154 of the family's 154-position model. From Rfam's summary of the family: 5.8S ribosomal RNA (5.8S rRNA) is a component of the large subunit of the eukaryotic ribosome. It is transcribed by RNA polymerase I as part of the 45S precursor that also contains 18S and 28S rRNA. Functionally, it is thought that 5.8S rRNA may be involved in ribosome translocation. Lineage: Eukaryota; Fungi; Ascomycota. The record is from RNAcentral.
UAAUGUGAAUUGCAGAAUUCAGUGAAUCAUCGAAUCUUUGAACGCACAUUGCGCCCCUUGGUAUUCCGAGGGGCAUGCCUGUUCGAGCGUCAUA